CAGGUUGGUGACAAUGAACCUGUA
This 24-nucleotide non-coding RNA is filed under the name Arabidopsis thaliana (thale cress). Lineage: Eukaryota; Viridiplantae; Streptophyta; Magnoliopsida; Brassicales; Brassicaceae. The record is from RNAcentral.